AAAAGGUGCAGCGUCUAAUUGGUCGUCGCGAGACAACUACGCCACCAAAUCGAACCUACACCGCAUCGUCUAGAGUCAAGACUCCAGGUCUCCUUUCGAUGCAUAAUGGAUACCUCACUUGAGGCCGACCGAGUACAAGAGGAUCGUUCGCGCAUUCCUUGUGAAGAAAGUUUUGAAACUCCAAAAGGCUAUCCCAAGGCUUGAGCGUUUUAUGUUUUGCUCGUUCUUUGUUUUUGGCCUUGAAUAAAUAUAUUAUUACUGUACUGUUCUGUGUCUUAUUACGAUUAUAAACAUUUUUUUUGACGAAAAUUAUAAACAUUUUUAUCCGGUGAAAAUGUUGA
Raphanus sativus (radish) is the source of this 341-nucleotide long non-coding RNA. RefSeq lists it as uncharacterized. The record is from RefSeq and is a predicted model, not a curated record. Lineage: Eukaryota; Viridiplantae; Streptophyta; Magnoliopsida; Brassicales; Brassicaceae. The transcript has 3 exons.